AAAUUGAAGAGUUUGAUCAUGGCUCAGAUUGAACGCUGGCGGCAGGCCUAACACAUGCAAGUCGAGCGGUAGCACAGAGAGCUUGCUCUCGGGUGACGAGCGGCGGACGGGUGAGUAAUGUCUGGGAAACUGCCUGAUGGAGGGGGAUAACUACUGGAAACGGUAGCUAAUACCGCAUAAUGUCGCAAGACCAAAGUGGGGGACCUUCGGGCCUCAUGCCAUCAGAUGUGCCCAGAUGGGAUUAGCUAGUAGGUGGGGUAACGGCUCACCUAGGCGACGAUCCCUAGCUGGUCUGAGAGGAUGACCAGCCACACUGGAACUGAGACACGGUCCAGACUCCUACGGGAGGCAGCAGUGGGGAAUAUUGCACAAUGGGCGCAAGCCUGAUGCAGCCAUGCCGCGUGUGUGAAGAAGGCCUUCGGGUUGUAAAGCACUUUCAGCGGGGAGGAAGGCGUUAAGGUUAAUAACCUUGGCGAUUGACGUUACCCGCAGAAGAAGCACCGGCUAACUCCGUGCCAGCAGCCGCGGUAAUACGGAGGGUGCAAGCGUUAAUCGGAAUUACUGGGCGUAAAGCGCACGCAGGCGGUCUGUCAAGUCGGAUGUGAAAUCCCCGGGCUCAACCUGGGAACUGCAUUCGAAACUGGCAGGCUAGAGUCUUGUAGAGGGGGGUAGAAUUCCAGGUGUAGCGGUGAAAUGCGUAGAGAUCUGGAGGAAUACCGGUGGCGAAGGCGGCCCCCUGGACAAAGACUGACGCUCAGGUGCGAAAGCGUGGGGAGCAAACAGGAUUAGAUACCCUGGUAGUCCACGCCGUAAACGAUGUCGAUUUGGAGGUUGUGCCCUUGAGGCGUGGCUUCCGGAGCUAACGCGUUAAAUCGACCGCCUGGGGAGUACGGCCGCAAGGUUAAAACUCAAAUGAAUUGACGGGGGCCCGCACAAGCGGUGGAGCAUGUGGUUUAAUUCGAUGCAACGCGAAGAACCUUACCUGGUCUUGACAUCCACAGAACUUUCCAGAGAUGGAUUGGUGCCUUCGGGAACUGUGAGACAGGUGCUGCAUGGCUGUCGUCAGCUCGUGUUGUGAAAUGUUGGGUUAAGUCCCGCAACGAGCGCAACCCUUAUCCUUUGUUGCCAGCGGUU
RNAcentral lists this ribosomal RNA (1134 nucleotides) under Klebsiella pneumoniae. Its description in RNAcentral is "bacterial SSU rRNA". It matches the Rfam family "Bacterial small subunit ribosomal RNA", at positions 1 to 1126 of the family's 1533-position model. RNAcentral also lists the same sequence under 1 other name. Lineage: Bacteria; Pseudomonadati; Pseudomonadota; Gammaproteobacteria; Enterobacterales; Enterobacteriaceae. The record is from RNAcentral.